AGGACUAACGCUGGCGGCGUGCCUAACACAUGCAAGUCGAACGAGGUAGCAAUACCUAGUGGCAGACGGGUGAGUAACGCGUGGUCAACCUACCUCUUAGUGGGGGAUAAUUAGCCGAAAGGUUAGCUAAUACCGCAUACGAUCGUCGCGAGGCAUCUCGUGACGAUGAAAGGAGCAAUUCGCUAAGAGAGGGGACUGCGUCCCAUUAGUUAGUUGGUGGGGUAAUGGCCCACCAAGACUCCGAUGGGUAGCUGGCUUGAGAGAGCGACCAGCCACACUGGAACUGAGACACGGUCCAGACUCCUACGGGAGGCAGCAGUGAGGAAUUUUCCGCAAUGGGCGCAAGCCUGACGGAGCGACGCCGCGUGUGGGAAGAGGCCUUCGGGUCGUAACCACUGUCGAAGGGGACGAUAUUGACGGUACCCUUGGAGGAAGCCCCGGCUAACUACCGUGCCAGCAGCCGC
Molecule: ribosomal RNA, 464 nt
Filed under: uncultured bacterium
Lineage: Bacteria
Description: SSU rRNA
Rfam family: Bacterial small subunit ribosomal RNA
Source: RNAcentral